This 215-nucleotide ribosomal RNA is filed under the name uncultured soil bacterium. Its description in RNAcentral is "partial 16S ribosomal RNA". It matches the Rfam family "Bacterial small subunit ribosomal RNA", at positions 26 to 247 of the family's 1533-position model. The record is from RNAcentral.
AGAUUGAACGCUGGCGGCAUGCCUUACACAUGCAAGUCGAACGGUAGAGUAGCAAUACUCGAGAGUGGCGAACGGGUGAGUAAUAUAUCGGAACGUGCCCAGUCGUGGGGGAUAACGUAGAGAAAUUUACGCUAAUACCGCAUACGAUCUACGGAUGAAAGCGGGGGAUUCGCAAGAACCUCGCGCGAUUGGAGCGGCUGAUAUCAGAUUAGGUU